UAUCAAUAACUAAACUUAAACAUAACAUCAAGGUGCUUCCUUCAAUCGCAAUGGAUAGAAGGAUUUUGAUUGUCCUUUUGGUUUUUGCUUUAACCAUGAGAUCAGUUUCGGCUAGAACAUGUACUGAGAUUUGCGGACAAAAGCAAAAUUGGUGUGAAAAUCGGUGUAUCUGGGAACCCUUAAUUCAGCGAGUAACCUGCGGGAUGAAAUGCAAGAGGAGAUUUAAAAGAUGCAAUGCAAAAUGUAACUAAUAGUAAAAAGACCACCAAGGAGUCUCAGAACAAAGCAUGUUGUUUUGUCAUCAAUUGUGAUUGAAUAAAAUAUUUUAUGUAA
This is a long non-coding RNA of Magallana angulata, 333 nucleotides long. RefSeq lists it as uncharacterized. NCBI's taxonomy places the organism in Eukaryota, Metazoa, Mollusca, Bivalvia, Ostreida, Ostreidae. The transcript has 3 exons. The record is from RefSeq and is a predicted model, not a curated record.